RNAcentral lists this ribosomal RNA (465 nucleotides) under Vreelandella stevensii. RNAcentral's name for it is "partial 16S ribosomal RNA". It matches the Rfam family "Bacterial small subunit ribosomal RNA", at positions 338 to 795 of the family's 1533-position model. Lineage: Bacteria; Pseudomonadati; Pseudomonadota; Gammaproteobacteria; Oceanospirillales; Halomonadaceae. The record is from RNAcentral.
CCUACGGGCGGCAGCAGUGGGGAAUAUUGGACAAUGGGCGAAAGCCUGAUCCAGCCAUGCCGCGUGUGUGAAGAAGGCCUUCGGGUUGUAAAGCACUUUCAGUGGGGAAGAAAGCCUUGGGGCUAAUACCCUCGAGGAAGGACAUCACCCACAGAAGAAGCACCGGCUAACUCCGUGCCAGCAGCCGCGGUAAUACGGAGGGUGCGAGCGUUAAUCGGAAUUACUGGGCGUAAGGCGCGCGUAGGCGGUCUGAUAAGCCGGUUGUGAAAGCCCCGGGCUCAACCUGGGAACGGCAUCCGGAACUGUCAGGCUAGAGUGCAGGAGAGGAAGGUAGAAUUCCCGGUGUAGCGGUGAAAUGCGUAGAGAUCGGGAGGAAUACCAGUGGCGAAGGCGGCCUUCUGGACUGACACUGACGCUGAGGUGCGAAAGCGUGGGUAGCAAACAGGAUUAGAUACCCCGGUAGUC